CCCUGCUGUCCCAGCAGCCAAGUUGUUUUUCUGUAACUCCUCCAAGGCAGUUAAAGAAUAAUGAAGAUACAGAUAAUGAAUCUUAUUUUCUCCAGGUUGAAAUGGAAGGCCUGUCUCUUCAGUAUGGCUUCCCCAUAAUGUCAAAAGAGCAGCACCGAUAUGUGCAGGAAGCAGCAUGGAAAUCAGCAUCAGCUGGUGAAAACAAACUGAAGCACCCUGAAGGGGAAAGAACUGGCUGAAAUCUCAUAGCCCAUUAGUGCCAGGGAUGGAAUGGAGCCCCUUUUCCCAUUUUCUUCAUGGAACAAUGCAGGCCCAUCUGGAGCGCCAUAGGAAUCCUUUCCAAAAGAUACUUGUGUUACCACUGGAGGAAAAUUCACAACCUAACAAUGAGUUAUAUGAAGCUUUCCUAAGGACCCCAAACAGACAUCACAGCUGCAGUCCUUAAAUCGCAGAGCCUGUGGGGGCAGGCUGCUAUUGUGAAGAACAGAGAUGCUGACCACAAUACUGUGAUUUUUUUGGGAGACAGGCACAGAGCUAACUGAAUCUAUUACAGGUCAUGCAUAUAAAGAUCUUAUGAGAACUCUUGUACGUGGUUUAUGUAGUAUUCUUAGGUAUUAUCUUAGAAGCUUUUUGAAGACUGUGAGUCAUACCAUAGGGGUGGCCAAUUAUUUGGGCUGCACCAGCUGGGAUGAGGGGGGAGCCGGCCCAGUUCCAUAGAGCUCCUGCUGGCCGGGACCCUGUACCCUUACCACCCUGCUCUGGGCCCUGCUGGCACUGGCUCUGAGUUCCUCCCAGUGUCCCCCAGCCUCGUGGUACAGGCUGGGAACAGCUGUGGUACAGGAUCCUUCCCAGCUCACUGGCAGGGAAGGAGCUGGUGCAGAAAGUGGGGGAAAGGUGGCCCCUUGCCUGCCCCAUGGCCCACACUCCCUGCUGCAGCCACUCGCAGCCCAUGCAGUGGUGUCCUGAGCAGGCACAGGCAGCUUCAUGAGGGCUGCGAGCGGCUGCAGCACAGGAUGCCAGCCACGGGGUGGGGGAGGGGCCACUCCCCCCCCUCACUCAGCACCAGCUUGUA
Molecule: long non-coding RNA, 1072 nt
Organism: Alligator mississippiensis (American alligator)
Lineage: Eukaryota; Metazoa; Chordata; Crocodylia; Alligatoridae
Exons: 3
Source: RefSeq, a predicted model, not a curated record